AUGAAGCCCCUCCGUUCCAUCCCAGCCGUCCAGCCCCACCCCCCCGUUCCCCAACUCAAACCCCCACGCCGCCGCUCGCCGCCGGCCGCCGGAGGGCCACCGCCGAUGACCACCCCAGGCGCGGCCACGCCCCCGAGCUUCAAGCGAUCCUCCCCCAGGAAGAAACAGCGGCCCCGCAGCCGCCUCCUCGCCGCUGACUUCGCCGCCGGAGAGGCCGAGGCUGCGCGGGCGUUGGUGGCGGCCAGGGCCACGCCGUCACCCCUCUCACCGCCGGCGGUGUCCCCGCAGUCUGCCGCAGGUAUGGCUCUGCCUCGCGAGUUCUUCGAGGUGGAUGCGCUCGACCUCGCCCCCCGCCUCCUCGGCAAGCUCCUGCGCCGCGACCAAGUCGUCCUCCGCAUCACCGAGGUGGAGGCUUACAGGCCAAACGAUUCCGCGUGCCAUGGCCGGUUCGGCAUCACGGCGAGAACUGCUCCUGUGUUUGGACCAGGAGGGCAUGCAUAUGUGUACCUAUGCUAUGGACUCCACAUGAUGCUCAAUGUUGUUGCCGACGAAGAGGGCGUCGGAGCUGCUGUUCUGAUCCGAGCGUGUGCCCCAGUUAGUGGACUGGAAAUUAUUCAGCAGCGUCGUGGCCAACAAACCGAGAAACCGAUCCUACUUACAGGACCAGGAAAGGUCGGUCAAGCUCUGGGGCUUUCCACCGACUGGUCGAACCAUCCACUAUAUACACCCGGUGGGUUGGAAGUUCUGGAUGCACCAGAACCUGAGAACAUUUUGGUUGGCCCCCGUGUCGGAAUCGAGUAUGCAUCGCCCGAGCAUGUCAUGGCGCCAUGGAGGUUCGCCGUUGCGGGCACCCCAUGGAUCAGUGCCCCGAAGAACACUCUCAGACCUCGGUGA
RNAcentral lists this ribosomal RNA (894 nucleotides) under Triticum aestivum (bread wheat). Its description in RNAcentral is "partial small subunit ribosomal RNA". Lineage: Eukaryota; Viridiplantae; Streptophyta; Magnoliopsida; Poales; Poaceae. The record is from RNAcentral.